AAGACCUUGCGCUUUUGGAGCGGCCGAUGCCUGAUUAGCUAGUUGGUGAGGUAAUGGCUCACCAAGGCGUCGAUCAGUAGUUGGUCUGAGAGGACGACCAGCCACACUGGGACUGAGACACGGCCCAGACUCCUACGGGAGGCAGCAGUGGGGAAUUUUGGACAAUGGGGGCAACCCUGAUCCAGCCAUGCCGCGUGAGUGAAGAAGGCCUUCGGGUUGUAAAGCUCUUUCAGCCGGAACGAAACGGUUACGGUUAACACCCGUGACUACUGACGGUACCGGAAGAAGAAGCACCGGCUAACUACGUGCCAGCAGCCGCGGUAAUACGUAGGGUGCGAGCGUUAAUCGGAAUUACUGGGCGUAAAGCGUGCGCAGGUGGUUUUGUAAGUCAGAUGUGAAAGCCCCGGGCUCAACCUGGGAACU
RNAcentral lists this ribosomal RNA (423 nucleotides) under uncultured bacterium. RNAcentral describes it as "bacterial SSU rRNA". It matches the Rfam family "Bacterial small subunit ribosomal RNA", at positions 207 to 622 of the family's 1533-position model. The record is from RNAcentral.